AGAGUUUGAUCCUGGCUCAGGACGAACGCUGGCGGCGUGCUUAACACAUGCAAGUCGAGCGGUAAGGCCCUUUCGGGGGUNNNCGAGCGGCGAACGGGUGAGUAACACGUGGGUGACCUGCCCUUAGCUCUGGGAUAAGCCCGGGAAACUGGGUCUAAUACCGGAUAUGACUCCACGGUGCAUGUCGUGGGGUGGAAAGCCUUGUGCGGCUGAGGAUGGGCCCGCGGCCUAUCAGCUUGUUGGUGGGGUGAUGGCCUACCAAGGCGACGACGGGUAGCCGGCCUGAGAGGGCGACCGGCCACACUGGGACUGGGACACGGCCCAGACUCCUACGGGAGGCAGCAGUGGGGAAUCUUGCGCAAUGGGCGAAAGCCUGACGCAGCGACGCCGCGUGAGGGAUGACGGCCUUCGGGUUGUAAACCUCUUUCAGCUCCGACGAAGCGGAAGUGACGGUAGGAGCAGAAGAAGCACCGGCCAACUACGUGCCAGCAGCCGCGGUAAUACGUAGGGUGCAAGCGUUGUCCGGAAUUAUUGGGCGUAAAGAGCUCGUAGGCGGUCUGUCGCGUCGGCUGUGAAAACUCGGAGCUCAAACUCCGACUUGCAGUCAUACGGGCAGGCUAAGUUCGGCAGGGGAGACUGGAAAUUCCUGGUGUACGGUAAAUGCGCAAUAUCAGGAGGAACACCGGUGGCCAAAGCGGGUCUCUGGGCCGAUACUGACGCUUAAGACGAAACGUGGGAGCCGAACCAGGAUUAAAUACCUGGUUAGUCCACCCGUUAAACGUUGGGGCGCUAGGUGUGGGAUCCCUUCCACGGGUUCCGUGCCGCAGCUAACGCAUUAAGCGCCCCGCCUGGGGAGUACGGCCGCAAGGCUAAAACUCAAAGGAAUUGACGGGGGCCCGCACAAGCGGCGGAGCAUGUGGAUUAAUUCGAUGCAACGCGAAGAACCUUACCUGGGUUUGACAUACACCGGAAAGCCGUGGAGACAUGGCCUCCGCAAGGCCGGUGUACAGGUGGUGCAUGGCUGUCGUCAGCUCGUGUCGUGAGAUGUUGGGUUAAGUCCCGCAACGAGCGCAACCCUCGUCCUAUGUUGCCAGCGGGUUAUGCCGGGGACUCAUGGGAGACUGCCGGGGUCAACUCGGAGGAAGGUGGGGACGACGUCAAGUCAUCAUGCCCCUUAUGUCCAGGGCUUCACACAUGCUACAAUGGCCGGUACAGAGGGCUGCUAAGCCGUGAGGUGGAGCGAAUCCCACAAAGCCGGUCUCAGUUCGGAUCGGGGUCUGCAACUCGACCCCGUGAAGUCGGAGUCGCUAGUAAUCGCAGAUCAGCAACGCUGCGGUGAAUACGUUCCCGGGCCUUGUACACACCGCCCGUCACGUCACGAAAGUCGGUAACACCCGAAGCCGGUGGCCUAACCCCUUGUGGGGGGGAGCCGUCGAAGGUGGGACUGGCGAUUGGGACGAAGUCGUACAAGGUAACCGUACCGGAGAGGUGCGGCUGGAUCACCUCCUU
RNAcentral lists this ribosomal RNA (1509 nucleotides) under uncultured bacterium. RNAcentral's name for it is "bacterial SSU rRNA". It matches the Rfam family "Bacterial small subunit ribosomal RNA". The record is from RNAcentral.